Molecule: ribosomal RNA, 490 nt
Filed under: uncultured bacterium
Lineage: Bacteria
Description: partial 16S ribosomal RNA
Rfam family: Bacterial small subunit ribosomal RNA
Source: RNAcentral
GAUGAACGCUAGCUACAGGCUUAACACAUGCAAGUCGAGGGGAAACGCUGAGAGAGCUUGCUCUCUUAGGCGUCGACCGGCGCACGGGUGAGUAACGCGUAUCCAACCUACCCAUUACAGGGGGAUAACCUUGCGAAAGUAAGACUAAUACCCCAUGGCAUUUUAUGGUGGCAUCAUUAUAGGAUUAAAGAUUUAUUGGUAAUUGAUGGGGAUGCGUCUGAUUAGCUUGUUGGCGGGGUAACGGCCCACCAAGGCAACGAUCAGUAGGGGUUCUGAGAGGAAGGGCCCCCACAUGGGAACUGAGACACGGUCCAAACUCAUACGGGAGGCAGCAGUGAGGAAUAUUGGUCAAUGGGCGAGAGCUUGAACCAGCCAAGUAGCGUGCAGGAUGACGGCCCUAUGGGUUGUAAACUGCUUUUAUAGGGGAAUAAAGUGAGCUACGUGUAGUUUAUUGCAUGUACCCUAUGAAUAAGGACCGGCUAAUUCCGUG